Molecule: ribosomal RNA, 849 nt
Filed under: uncultured bacterium
Lineage: Bacteria
Description: bacterial SSU rRNA
Rfam family: Bacterial small subunit ribosomal RNA
Source: RNAcentral
UGCAAGUCGACGAGAACGCAUCCUUCGGGAUGCAAGUACAGUGGCGCACGGGUGAGUAACGCGUAGGCAACCUGCCCUUGAGUGGGGAAUAACCAUCGGAAACGGUGGCUAAUACCGCAUGCAGUCGUACAUCGUAUGAUGUACGAUGAAAGUCUUCGGAUGCUCAAGGAUGGGCCUGCGUCGGAUUAGCUGGUAGGUAGGGUAACGGCCUACCUAGGCUACGAUCCGUAGCUGGUCUGAGAGGACGAUCAGCCACACUGGCACUGAGACACGGGCCAGACUUCUACGGAAGGCAGCAGUAGGGAAUAUUGGGCAAUGGGCGAAAGCCUGACCCACCCACGCCGCGUGGAGGAAGACACCCCUAUGGGGCGUAAACUCCUUUUAUAUGGGAAGAACACCUCCCUCAGGGAGGCUUGACGGUACCGUAUGAAUAAGCACCGGCUAACUCCGUGCCAGCAGCCGCGGUAAUACGGAGGGUGCAAGCGUUGUCCGGAUUCACUGGGUGUAAAGGGUGUGUAGGCUGGGCGGUAUGUCAGAGGUGAAAGCCCACGGCUUAACCGUGGAAUUGCCUUUGAAACUGCCGUUCUUGAGUCUCGGAGAGGUCGCUGGAAUUCGUGGUGUAGCGGUGAAAUGCGUAUAUAUCACGAGGAACACCAGAGGCGUAGGCGGGCGACUGGACGAGUACUGACGCUGAGGCACGAAAGCGUGGGGAGCAAACAGGAUUAGAUACCCUGGUAGUCCACGCCGUAAACGAUGGAUGCUCGGUGUUGGCCCUCAUUGUGGGGUCAGCGCCCAAGCUAACGCGUUAAGCAUCCCACCUGGGGAGUACGCUCGCAAGAGUGAAACUCA